This 117-nucleotide ribosomal RNA is filed under the name Sinocyclocheilus anshuiensis. The record is from RNAcentral. Lineage: Eukaryota; Metazoa; Chordata; Actinopteri; Cypriniformes; Cyprinidae.
GAUCAUAGCCAUAUCACCCUGCAGCCCAAGACUGCUUGCCCACUGAAGCCAAGCAGGGUUGAGCCUGGUCAGUACCUGGAUGGGAGACCUCCUGAGAAAACUAGGUUGCUGUGUAAG